Long non-coding RNA from Sphaeramia orbicularis (orbiculate cardinalfish), 88 nucleotides. RefSeq lists it as uncharacterized. The record is from RefSeq and is a predicted model, not a curated record. NCBI's taxonomy places the organism in Eukaryota, Metazoa, Chordata, Actinopteri, Kurtiformes, Apogonidae. The transcript is spliced from 3 exons.
UUAAUGAAUGAUCUGAACAACUUAAAUUCAUCAUCAAGUCCAUCCCAUAAUUUCACCCCACAACCCAAAUACAUUUAAACAUCACAUU